AUCUAUCAAUACCAACACCGAACAAUGUGAACUUUGCUUGUCGGCCCGCUGAGGUGGAUUCAGUUCCGCCCCGGUGCAGCCUGGGCCUUCACGGGUUCAGGCCGGGUUCGCCCACAUCCAAGGCGACUUGGAUGUGAAGCGCGCUGGCCCCCCAAACAAACCAAACCAAUUAACACCAAACCAAAACCUUUCUUGAAUCUUAUUAAAUGCGGUAGGCCCGGCCUCCGCAUCUAACUAAGACAACUCUCAACAACGGAUAUCUUGGCUCUCGCAACGAUGAAGAACGCAGCGAAAUGCGAUACGUAGUGUGAAUUGCAGAAUUCCGUGAACCAUCGAAUCUUUGAACGCAUAUUGCGGUCGAGGCUUCUGCCGAGACCAUGUCUGCCUCAGCGUCGGGUUUAUAUCACUCCCCUCAUGCCUUGUGCAUGAUUGUGAGAGUGGACCUGGCCGUUCCAGCGAAGCUCCCGUUCAACGCACUUUCGUGUUGAGCGGACCAAGGCUCUGGAUCGGCUGAAGAUCAGAGUUCUGACCGAGGACCCUUCUAAGGGCCGCAACUGGGUGGGCAUUUCCAAUGCUAAGCUUUAGUUGUUGGCCUGGGAUUUCGGUUGACGACCUCAAACAGGAAACCCACAUUCAACUUAUAUUCUCGA
RNAcentral lists this unclassified non-coding RNA (650 nucleotides) under Chlorococcum minutum. Its description in RNAcentral is "sequence contains ITS1, 5.8S rRNA gene, ITS2, 28S rRNA gene". The stretch from base 242 to 395 matches the Rfam family "5.8S ribosomal RNA". The record is from RNAcentral. Lineage: Eukaryota; Viridiplantae; Chlorophyta; Chlorophyceae; Chlamydomonadales; Chlorococcaceae.